CUUGUUUUCUAGUUCUUUGGGAAUUCCCCACCCUCAUGGGCUUCCUUGUUUCUCGGGGUUACGGAACGUUCAUCACGUUCCAGGGCAAUCUAAUUCGGCAAGGACGCGGUUCCUCAUAACAUCGUCUCCUUGCUCUAUACAAUGGAGGGUAAGAUUCAAAAUGGAGCCUCUUUGGCUAACACCACUCUCCACACACCGCUCUCCACAACAUACACAAGUGCAAAGCCUAGAGACCUACAGAGGGUGAGGUUCCUGCUUAGGCCUCAGGAUGCACCCUCUUGGUUCCUGAGGUCCUUGAACCAAGGAACUCCCCGUUUGGGAAGAGAGCCUUCCUUUAGAUAUGGCAGUGCCUCCACCUGAGCCUUGCCCCAGCUUGCAACUUUGAUCCAAGCCUUUCUGUCUGGAUCCAUCACCUGAAGGGUAGAAGCAAUCACAAUACAAUUUGAGGAGGCCUGUGCUAAGAACUACGACAUCAUGUGUCUGUAUUUAAUAGAUGUGUAGGAAUGGCAUUCUUGUUUAUUAUGUGCACACAAUUUGUCAUGCUAUCCAUGAAAUAUUCCUUAUUCAAUCUUCUUCCUAGCUAUAUUUUGUAUUUGUAUUGGCUAAAUUCUCUAAUUUUCUGUGGAAAGAAACACCAUACAUUUGGACACUAUGAGUUCUAAUAUUCCUAGUUUCCUAUUCAGUUCUCAUCCCAUUCCAGGCAGGUGGAAGUUGGGCCCCCUUUAGAGGUCAGGGUUCUGUGCCUGUUUGUGGCUACUUGUGAGCAGAAGCAGGAUAAAACCCAGGCACCUCUGUCUGUCUGUCCUAUGGUAUGUGAUUCUGAAGGAGGCUUUGUUUUAGUGGCACAGGUACAAAUCAGCCAACCUGGACCACUGAGCCAUAGCAAGAGGGAAAGUUGCCUCGAAGAGGUCCCUGCAUCAUCUCCAAGCUUUUGUUGCAUUAAGCCACUGAGAUUUGGAUUUGUUUGUUAUUAUAAGGCAAUAUAUCUCAUUCUGAUAAAUAAAUCACUGAAAAAAUGCUGGAACAUUUUCAUACUUUUACAUUAUCAAUAGGUUAUACAUGGCACUUCCUUUUGAUUUAAUAUAGUGGCACAGACUCACCAGCUUAUAACCUUGAUAAUUAUGUUUCUGGUCUAGAAACCUCCUGCCUCCCUUUUUUCCAUUUUGGAGAAAUCACAUUCGUUAAAAUUCUUGUAGAUGGAAAUGACAGAAACCUAUCCCAAUGCAAACUAAAGUUAUAUAACCAAAGUUAAAAGUUUGCAUU
Heterocephalus glaber (naked mole-rat) is the source of this 1263-nucleotide non-coding RNA. The record is from RefSeq and is a predicted model, not a curated record. Lineage: Eukaryota; Metazoa; Chordata; Mammalia; Rodentia; Bathyergidae.